RNA transcript from Cucumis sativus (cucumber), 1515 nucleotides. It is a transcript of the gene named cyclin-J18, with no coding region annotated. NCBI's taxonomy places the organism in Eukaryota, Viridiplantae, Streptophyta, Magnoliopsida, Cucurbitales, Cucurbitaceae. The record is from RefSeq and is a predicted model, not a curated record. The transcript has 11 exons.
UAAAGCUCACUCCAAAAUUCUUUGAUUUUCUCUCAUAUUUGUCUAAAAUUGUGUGUUUCAAUAAUUUUAUAGUUUACAAUGGAAAAAGAAAAGAAAAAAAGAAAAAGAAAAAAGAACACACACAAAAUGCGAAAUCAUGUUAGUUAUAUCGUAAACGUCGGCAUGCAAUGGAAGUAGCAAAAAAAUGGUGGGAAGAAGGAGAGCAACUAUGGAGAGUGAGAUGUUACCGGUUCUCAGAAGUAGCGUCGUCAAAUUUCUAAUUCAAUCUGCUCAUGAUCUCGAAGUGCCUCCGAUCGUCAAGUAUUCUGCGUUGUCGCUUUUCGCUGAUAGAUUCUACUCAUCCAUUUCUGGGUUCACUAGCAGCAAUGACUCAAGCUAUUGGCUUCUGCAACCAAUCACAGAAAGCAAUUUGCAGUUAUUUGCACUUGUUUCCCUAUGGAUAUCUAGCAAAUUGCACACUUCUCAUCCUCCUUCUAUAAAACUUCUGAAGGCUUUUGGGGAUAAGAUGAUCAAGGAACAACAUUUUAUGACACGGGAUUUCUUGGAUGCAGAGGUCAUAUUCAUGCGGAUAUUAAAUUUCGAGAUUGGUACUGCAAAUAUCACUUUUAUAUUUCUCGAGGAACUUCUUAAUCAAUUCAAGGAAGUAGCGAAAGUUGGAGAGCUUGUGAACUGGGAAGCAUGCAUGGAUGUAAUGGAUCUUCUUUAUGAAAAAGAGGAGACAACUGUGUUUUACAGGUCUCCUUGUUCUUCAGCUGCUGCCAUCUUGAUUGCUUCGUAUCUCAUUACUGUUCCAGUUCAAGAAUGGGAAUUUCCCAUUGUUCCCUGGGUUGUAGCUAUGCGGAGUAAUUUGAUGGAACACCUCUUUGAAUCAAUUUCCACCUGUUUCUUCUUUCUUCUACUGUACUGAUGUAUGAUAGGGGGUCUAUCAUAAUCUCAACGCAUUUAGCAAGUUCCAUCAAUUUCACUAUGCGGUACGCGUCUUUCCAUAUCAAAUCACACAAGAAGCAAGUGACAUCUAUCACAUACUAGAUCACACAUGUAUGAGACAUCCUACACAAUAUCACACAGCAUGAAUUGGGCAUUCUCUUAUAGAACACAUAGCAAGAAUAAAGCAUUUUAUCCAAUGGAUCACACAACAAGGAUAAGGUAUCUCAUACUAGACUACACAACAAGUAUGAUGCAUUCUCAUCGCAUAAGUACAUUUUGUAACAGCAUUCAAAGAAGACGAUAUUGUCAAACAAGCCAGAGACAUUCUACUUCACGUGUUAGAGACUGAUUGCUAGAGAAGUGCAAAAGGAUUGAAAACAGAACAAUUCUUAAACAUAGAUGUAAGUUCUGUUGUUAAUUUUGUGGUAUCUUUUUGGCUUUAUUUCUAGACGUUUCUGUCAGGGAGAGGAACUGAAUUGCAUUGUAGCUUUGGAAGCCAUACAAAGUAGAGAAAUGGUAUCAGCCUACCAAGAUGAUCAAAGUCUUUAAGUAAAGCUUUCGAUGAAAUUUUAUAUUUAUCCGUCUUUA